GCCGAGAUCGCAUAACCUGGUAUUGCGCAAGCCUGGAAAGCUUGUUUCCUUUUGGAUAUCUGGGUUCAAAUCCCAGUCUCGGCG
Molecule: transfer RNA, 84 nt
Filed under: archaeon
Lineage: Archaea
Description: tRNA-Ser
Rfam family: tRNA
About the family: Transfer RNA (tRNA) molecules are approximately 80 nucleotides in length. Their secondary structure includes four short double-helical elements and three loops (D, anti-codon, and T loops). Further hydrogen bonds mediate the characteristic L-shaped molecular structure. tRNAs have two regions of fundamental functional importance: the anti-codon, which is responsible for specific mRNA codon recognition, and the 3' end, to which the tRNAs corresponding amino acid is attached (by aminoacyl-tRNA synthetases). tRNAs cope with the degeneracy of the genetic code in two manners: having more than one tRNA (with a specific anti-codon) for a particular amino acid; and 'wobble' base-pairing, i.e. permitting non-standard base-pairing at the 3rd anti-codon position.
Source: RNAcentral